AGUUCCUUAACUCAGUGGUAGAUUAUUUUACUGCAGAUCAAGAGGUUACUAGUUCGAACUUGGUAGGGCCUU
This 72-nucleotide transfer RNA is filed under the name Capsicum annuum. It matches the Rfam family "tRNA". From Rfam's summary of the family: Transfer RNA (tRNA) molecules are approximately 80 nucleotides in length. Their secondary structure includes four short double-helical elements and three loops (D, anti-codon, and T loops). Lineage: Eukaryota; Viridiplantae; Streptophyta; Magnoliopsida; Solanales; Solanaceae. The record is from Rfam by way of RNAcentral.